GUUGCUUCAGAGACAUCCAAUAAAAUUAGAACGAUACAAAAAAAAAUUAGCAAAGUCCUUGCGGAAGAAUGACACGCACAAAUCGAGAAAUGGUCAAAAAGUAU
This 104-nucleotide small nuclear RNA is filed under the name Nicotiana sylvestris (wood tobacco). The record is from RNAcentral. Lineage: Eukaryota; Viridiplantae; Streptophyta; Magnoliopsida; Solanales; Solanaceae.